AUGGAUCCUGGCUCGUGGGAUGAAUCAGAAAAACUUACUCAAGAGGAUAAUAUUGAUCUGACUAGAGCCUUCUCAGAAGAGGAGGUGAAAGAGGCCUUGUUUGCAAUGGAUGUUAAUAGAGCACCUGGCCCCGAUAACAUUCCUGCGGAGUUUUAUCAACAUUGCUGGAGCAUUGUUAAAAAUGACAUCAUGCAGCUGUUCAGCCACUUCCAUGCUGGAACGCUUGACGUGCAGCGCCUUAACUAUGGGGUGAUUACUCUUCUCCCUAAAGUGUCAGGUGCGGAUCGUAUCCAGCAAUUUCGACCUAUCUGUCUCCUUAGGUGCCCAUAUAAACUGAUUACUAAGACUAUGGAUCGGAGAGUAGAAAAAUAA
Molecule: ribosomal RNA, 372 nt
Filed under: Triticum aestivum (bread wheat)
Lineage: Eukaryota; Viridiplantae; Streptophyta; Magnoliopsida; Poales; Poaceae
Description: partial small subunit ribosomal RNA
Source: RNAcentral